GACGAACGCUGGCGGCGUGCUUAACACAUGCAAGUCGAACGGAAAGGCCCUGCUUUUGUGGGGUGCUCGAGUGGCGAACGGGUGAGUAACACGUGAGUAACCUGCCCUUGACUGUGGGAUAACUUCAGGAAACUGGGGCUAAUACCGGAUAGGAGCUCCUGCCGCAUGGUGGGGGUUGGAAAGUUUCGGCGGUUGGGGAUGGACUCGCGGCUUAUCAGCUUGUUGGUGGGGUAGUGGCUUACCAAGGCUUUGACGGGUAGCCGGCCUGAGAGGGUGACCGGCCACAUUGGGCCUGAGAUACGGCCCAGACUCGUACGGGAGGCAGCGGUGGGGAAUAUUGCACAAUGGGCGGAAGCCUGAUGCAGCAACGCCGCGUGCGGGAUGACGGCCUUCGGGUUGUAAACCGCCUUCGCCUGUGACGAAGCGUGAGUGACGGUAAUGGGUAAAGAAGCACCGGCUAACUACGUG
This 468-nucleotide ribosomal RNA is filed under the name uncultured bacterium. Its description in RNAcentral is "partial 16S ribosomal RNA". It matches the Rfam family "Bacterial small subunit ribosomal RNA", at positions 28 to 507 of the family's 1533-position model. The record is from RNAcentral.